UACAGAGGGGGCAAGCGUUGUUCGGAAUUACUGGGCGUAAAGGGCGCGUAGGCGGCCAUCUAAGUCAGACGUGAAAUCCCCCGGCUUAACCUGGGAACUGCGUCUGAUACUGGACGGCUGGAGUUUGGGAGAGGGAUGUAGAAUUCCAGGUGUAGCGGUGAAAUGCGUAGAUAUCUGGAGGAAUACCGGUGGCGAAGGCGGCAUCCUGGACCAAUACUGACGCUGAGGCGCGAAAGCUAGGGGAGCAAACGGG
RNAcentral lists this ribosomal RNA (253 nucleotides) under uncultured bacterium. RNAcentral describes it as "partial 16S ribosomal RNA". It matches the Rfam family "Bacterial small subunit ribosomal RNA", at positions 524 to 776 of the family's 1533-position model. The record is from RNAcentral.